UACGAAGGGGGCUAGCGUUGCUCGGAAUCACUGGGCGUAAAGCGCACGUAGGCGGAUUGUUAAGUCAGGGGUGAAAUCCUGGAGCUCAACUCCAGAACUGCCUUUGAUACUGGCGAUCUUGAGUCCGGGAGAGGUGAGUGGAACUGCGAGUGUAGAGGUGAAAUUCGUAGAUAUCCGGAAGAACACCAGUGGCGAAGGCGGCCUGCUGGGCAGUUGCUGACGCUGAGGCGCGACAGCGUGGGGAGCAAACAGG
Molecule: ribosomal RNA, 253 nt
Filed under: uncultured bacterium
Lineage: Bacteria
Description: partial 16S ribosomal RNA
Rfam family: Bacterial small subunit ribosomal RNA
Source: RNAcentral